GACGAACGCUGGCGGCGUGCUUAACACAUGCAAGUCGAACGGUAAGGCCCUUCGGGGUACGACGAGUGGCGAACGGGUGAGUAACACGUGGGUGAUCUGCCCUGCACUUUGGGAUAAGCCCUGGGAAACUGGGUCUAAUACCGAAUAUGACCAUGGACUUCACGGUUUGUGGUGGAAAGCUUUUGCGGUGUGGGAUGGGCCCGCGGCCUAUCAGCUUGUUGGUGGGGUAAUGGCCUACCAAGGCGACGACGGGGUAGCCGGCCUGAGAGGGUGACCGGCCACACUGGGACUGAGAUACGGCCCAGACUCCUACGGGAGGCAGCAGUGGGGGAAUAUUGCACAAUGGGGCGCAAGCCUGAUGCAGCGACGCCGCGUGGGGGAUGACGGCCUCGGUU
RNAcentral lists this ribosomal RNA (395 nucleotides) under uncultured bacterium. Its description in RNAcentral is "bacterial SSU rRNA". It matches the Rfam family "Bacterial small subunit ribosomal RNA", at positions 28 to 424 of the family's 1533-position model. The record is from RNAcentral.